CGGUCCAGACUCCUACGGGAGGCAGCAGUGGGGAAUAUUGCACAAUGGGCGCAAGCCUGAUGCAGCCAUGCCGCGUGUGUGAAGAAGGCCUUCGGGUUGUAAAGCACUUUCAGCGGGGAGGAAGGCGUUAAGGUUAAUAACCUUGGCGAUUGACGUUACCCGCAGAAGAAGCACCGGCUAACUCCGUGCCAGCAGCCGCGGUAAUACGGAGGGUGCAAGCGUUAAUCGGAAUUACUGGGCGUAAAGCGCACGCAGGCGGUCUGUCAAGUGAGA
RNAcentral lists this ribosomal RNA (273 nucleotides) under Klebsiella pneumoniae. Its description in RNAcentral is "partial 16S ribosomal RNA". It matches the Rfam family "Bacterial small subunit ribosomal RNA", at positions 327 to 592 of the family's 1533-position model. Lineage: Bacteria; Pseudomonadati; Pseudomonadota; Gammaproteobacteria; Enterobacterales; Enterobacteriaceae. The record is from RNAcentral.